CGGCGUGCCUAACACAUGCAAGUCGUACGAGAAAGCCGGCUUCGGCUGGUGGUAAAGUGGCGCACGGGUGAGUAACGCGUGGAUAAUCUGCCCUUAAGUGUGGAAUAACGUACCGAAAGGUGCGCUAAUACCGCAUAAUGCCUGGCAACACAAGUUGUCCGGCCAAAGAAGGCCUCUGUUUACAAGCUUUCGCUUCAGGAUGAGUCCGCGUACCAUUAGCUUGUUGGUGGGGUAAUGGCCUACCAAGGCUGCGAUGGUUAGCUGGUCUGAGAGGAUGAUCAGCCACACUGGAACUGAGACACGGUCCAGACUCCUACGGGAGGCAGCAGUGAGGAAUAUUGCGCAAUGGGGGCAACCCUGACGCAGCAACGCCGCGUGAGUGAGGAAGGUUUUCGGACUGUAAAGCUCUGUCGAGCGGGAAGAAGUGUACCAUGGCUAAUAUCCAUGAUAUUUGACGGUACCGCUAGAGGAAGCACCGGCUAACUCCGUG
Molecule: ribosomal RNA, 490 nt
Filed under: uncultured bacterium
Lineage: Bacteria
Description: bacterial SSU rRNA
Rfam family: Bacterial small subunit ribosomal RNA
Source: RNAcentral